AUAAACGCUGGCGGCGUGCAUGAGACAUGCAAGUCGAACGGGCGAUCGGGGCUUGCUCCGAUCGCUAGUGGCGGACGGCUGAGUAACGCGUGGGUGACCUGCCCCGAAGUGGGGGAUAACGGCCCGAAAGGGUUGCUAAUACCGCAUGUGGCGACGUGUUCGGUCACGUCAUCAAAGCCGUAAGGCGCUUCGGGAGGGGCCUGCGUCCGAUUAGCUCGUUGGUGGGGUAACGGCUCACCAAGGCGACGAUCGGUAGGUGGUCUGAGAGGACGAUCACCCAGACUGGGACUGAGACACGGCCCAGACUCCUACGGGAGGCAGCAGUCGGGAAUUUUGCUCAAUGGGCGAAAGCCUGAAGCAGCAACGCCGCGUGAGGGAUGAAGGCCUUCGGGUUGUAAACCUCUUUUCUCAGGGACGAUGAUGACGGUACCUGAGGAAUAAGCCACGGCUAACUACGU
RNAcentral lists this ribosomal RNA (458 nucleotides) under uncultured bacterium. RNAcentral describes it as "bacterial SSU rRNA". It matches the Rfam family "Bacterial small subunit ribosomal RNA", at positions 29 to 506 of the family's 1533-position model. The record is from RNAcentral.